UCGCUGUAAGCUCUAAGACAGGCAU
This 25-nucleotide non-coding RNA is filed under the name Cricetulus griseus (Chinese hamster). Lineage: Eukaryota; Metazoa; Chordata; Mammalia; Rodentia; Cricetidae. The record is from RNAcentral.